Molecule: ribosomal RNA, 643 nt
Filed under: Burkholderia sp. Bac116D4
Lineage: Bacteria; Pseudomonadati; Pseudomonadota; Betaproteobacteria; Burkholderiales; Burkholderiaceae
Description: bacterial SSU rRNA
Rfam family: Bacterial small subunit ribosomal RNA
Source: RNAcentral
AUGCAUUUCGAACGGCAGCACGGGUGCUUGCACCUGCUGGCGAGUGGCGAACGGGUGAGUAAUACAUCGGAACAUGUCCUGUAGUGGGGGAUAGCCCGGCGAAAGCCGGAUUAAUACCGCAUACGAUCUACGGAUGAAAGCGGGGGACCUUCGGGCCUCGCGCUAUAGGGUUGGCCGAUGGCUGAUUAGCUAGUUGGUGGGGUAAAGGCCUACCAAGGCGACGAUCAGUAGCUGGUCUGAGAGGACGACCAGCCACACUGGGACUGAGACACGGCCCAGACUCCUACGGGAGGCAGCAGUGGGGAAUUUUGGACAAUGGGCGAAAGCCUGAUCCAGCAAUGCCGCGUGUGUGAAGAAGGCCUUCGGGUUGUAAAGCACUUUUGUCCGGAAAGAAAUCCUUGGCUCUAAUACAGUCGGGGGAUGACGGUACCGGAAGAAUAAGCACCGGCUAACUACGUGCCAGCAGCCGCGGUAAUACGUAGGGUGCGAGCGUUAAUCGGAAUUACUGGGCGUACAGCGUGCUGUGGCGGUUUGCUAAGACUCAUGUGAAAGCCCCGGGUUCAACCUGGAAACUGCAUUGGGGACUGUCAGGCUAAAAUAAGGGAAAGGAGGGUAAAAAUCCCCCGUGUACAGGUGAAAUCGU